AUUGACUUCCACAGGCUCUUCAAGAGUCUAUGACAAGCACAGCCCUGUGCUCGAGGACAGGGUUGGCUGAAUGUUAGGAUAGUUAAAUUCUUCAGUUAAUAAUCAUACUCAAAGGAUAAUAGAUCAGGGUUAUCCUGGAGAAGGUUUCUUGGGUGCAGUGGUGCAUGCUUGAAGUCCCAGAUCCUUGGGAGGCUGAGGCAAGAGGAUCGCUUGAGCCCAGGAAUUUGAGACCAACAUGGGCAACACCGGGAGACCCAUUCUCAAAACCAAAAACCACUGCAAGUAGCUUGGGUGUAGAUCUGUUUAUUAAAUUUGCACGGGUGCAUGGGACACAAUUGGAUGGCUAGCGUCUAUUUGGAAUUGUCUGACAAGGAUUUUCAAAAAGUUGCAUGGUGAAAUUUCACAGGGUUUAUAGACUAUGGCUCUGUCUUUGAGCCCCUCAGUUGUGUUAAGUGCAGGAGAAAGAUAAUGGCUUAGCAGAAAUAGGGGGGUUCAGAGAUGGGUGGAGACCUUCAGGGCACCUUGCUGCUUUAGUUCGCUGGAGCAGGUGAUGCAGGAAAGGAGGCAUGAGGAUGUGGCUGGCCAGGUUUACGGGGGUCAGGUGGUGAGAGCCUCGAAAGCUGUGCUCAGGAACUUGGGCCGUGUUCUAAGUGGCAGGCAUUCCUUUACAGUUCAUCCUUGAGGGAAGUGACUCCUCUUUUUGACCAGCUUUGGCAGGCUGUGGAGGAGAGUUGGACCUGGGAGAGCAGAGAGGAGAUUUACACAGGUCCACGUGGAGGCUGGUGCAGUCUGGCUUCGGUUAGGACCCAAGGGCAGGGAUGGGGAGGUGGUGCUGCCCUGUCAGAGUGCCCUUUGGCCUGUCGUCCCGGGCUUGGCUGCCACAUAGGAGUGCUUCGGUUUCUGGUACUCUUGCCAAAGGCUGGCAGGACUGAACAGUCUCUCAGUCUUCAUGCUUUUCCCCUGAAAGAACCGGCUGCCUAGCCCCGGCCUUUAGCCUUCUCUCGUCACACUCAGUAUCCUUGUUGCUUCUGCUUCCCUAGAGACGGGGCUUUGGGAGAGGGCAAGAGGAGCCCCUUUAAGGAGCGUGAAGAGGACUUGGAGAAGGCCAUGUCCCAGAAAAGAACUUCAAACAGGAGGCAGAAAACAUAGAAAACAUCGUGCUGUUGAGAAAUGUCCAUUGGAUCUGGGGAAGAGUAAGACCUCGUGAAGGAAGGAGAGAAGAUGGUGCGGUGAGGUGCCGGCCCUGCUCCGCCGCCACUCACACCUCAGCACAGGGACUGUGGCAACCCAGGCGCCUGCCCUACUUGGUUCCUGAAUGGAUGGCAGAUAAGAAAAGAAACCUCUUGCUGAAAUGCUGAAACUUCCUCUGCUUAUGAGAUUAAAAAAACUGGCUGAAAUCAGUUGGAAUCCAUAUGGCCAGCUGGAGUCUAUGCAGAAUGAGCCCGCUGACCUCACAGCCUUUCCACUGCACCUUUCACACUAGCGCCCCCCAAAUUUGCACCUAUGACCCAUGAAGAGGCAUGAAGAUACCACUGUGGAGGCCCGAGGACUUUCCAGACCUUUCCUUCCCUUCCACUAAUCACCUAUUCAUCUCAGAAUCCACCCGCUAAACAUUUUUUUUUUUUUUUUGAGACGGGAGUCUCGCUCUGUCGCCCAGGCUGGAGUGCAGUGGUGCGAUCUCCGCUCACUGCAAGCUCCGCCUGCCGGGUUCACGCCAUUCUCCUGCGUCAGCCUCCCGAGUAGCUGGGAAUACAGGCGUCUGCCACCACUAAUUUUUUUGUAUUUUUUAGUAGAGAUGGGGUUUCACCGUGUUAGCCAGGAUGGUCUCGAUCUCAUGACCUCGUGAUCCGCCCGCCUUGGCCUCGGAAAGUGCUGGGAUUACAGGCGUGAGCCACCGCGCCCGGCUUAAACAUUUUCUAAUGAAGACACUGCCUUAAAGCUGGCACAGAAAGAUUUGAGCUGGACUUCUGUCUCCUUGUUGGUCGAACUGCGAUAACAAGCUUUCGUUUUCUCAAAAACCUGGUGCCAUAGUAUCGGCUUCUAGUGCAUGGGGCAGCGAGCCCUUUCACUCGGUAACACUGCGUCAGGAACUGGCAUGCAUUUUGGUGGUCUCACAACCCCAGCUCUGCCCCCCAGCACAUCUCGUUGAGAGGUGACAGCGUGCCGGCAGCUCUCGGCGCCUCCUCGGCCUUGGCGCCCACUCUGGCCUUGCUUGAGAAGCCCUUCAGCCCGCCGCUGCACUGCGGGAGCCCCUUUCUGCGCUGGCCAAGGCCGGAGCCGGCACCCUCAGCUUGCGGGGAGGUGUGGAGGGAGAGGCGCGAGCGGGAACAGGGGCUGCGCGCGGUGCUUGCUGGCCAGCGUGAGUUCCGGGUG
Molecule: long non-coding RNA, 2373 nt
Filed under: Homo sapiens (human)
Lineage: Eukaryota; Metazoa; Chordata; Mammalia; Primates; Hominidae
Description: HSALNT0236250
Source: RNAcentral